CGAUAGUCUAUAACCAAAAUUCACAAAUGAAAUUCAAAUUUAUACCCCAAAAUAUUACAUUGACAUCCAACUACCAAAAUAAAGAUUAAAUUCAACUUACAAAAUAAUCAUUCAUAUUCGAUUUCUUAUUUCCUAAACCUAUUAACAAAAAUCAAAAGUUCCAAAGUCUAGUUAAGUGGGUAAGUUGUUUCCUUGAUCUUUAGGAGUAAGUUACACAUCCUGGCGAUUUCACUACUAGAAACUGGGACAUCGCAUUCUUCAAAUAGUUCCUCUCACUUCCUUACAAACAUGAUUGAGAUAACCUACAAAUACGAAACCCAAUCCAUAAAUAAAUAAAUAAAUGGAAGCAUAAUUCUAUAAUACUUAUGGUUAUUUUUUCUUUUUCUCAUUUUUUUUGGAACGGCAAAUACUAAACAGAAGCCCUUCCGCCUUUUACAUCGAAAGCCCGGGUUCAAGCUCCUUUACAGGGCAAACCCUCACCCUUUUUAAUGGGAUUCCAAAGGAAAAUUUCUCAUGAGUGGCCACCAAUGGCAGUCGAACUCCCCACCUUGCUCCUAAAUGGUUAUAAACCCAACACCUCUUUUGAGCUGGGUUGGGCUUCAUUGGUUGCUUUUUCUCAUUUAUACAACAUUACCGAAAUUAAGUUCCAUUAAAAAAGUUAAAAAGCAUGCAACUGUCUACCUACAUUAACUACAUUAACUUCACAGAAAUGUUUGUUUUAGUUGUUUCACUAUUUGCAAAGAACAUGCCCGCAAAUGGAAUGGAAUGGAUUAUACAUUAUGCUUUCAUCUAUGAAAUAUAUGUCAUCUACAACCACAUAUUUUGCCAAGUUUUUUAUGUACAACACAGGAAUACGACUUACUACAUUAUAAUUUUACAAAAAGUAAUGCAAACUUACAAUAAGUGUAUAUCUUAAUUACUCUAUAAAGGUAAGAAUUACCACGUACCUUACUACAUCCAACCUUUUCCUAGAAAGUAUCAAGUAUUUGUGAACAUGAAAUUUAAUUACCUCAGCUAAAGACUCAAACAUUAAUUCACCACUAGAAAGAUCUGCAACAGGAGAGUUUGUACACACACAAAUUCCUACAUUAGAGUAUACACACAUAGAGAUAUAUAAAUCAACUAAUUUAGUUAAGAACCUUCCACUCCCAUUCUUGAACCUUCCUCACAAACAUCAAACAAAACAUGCACCAACUAAAACGAACCAAAAAAUUUAGAAAGAAAAAACAGAACAACUUAUGUUUCUACGAAAUAAAACACACAGUUAGAUAGAUAGAGAGGAAAACCUUGGUGAGGAAUUAAGAUUUUCGUGAGAAAGGUUGAGAUGGUGGUUCAUGGGAUUUCAGUCUCGGCGGUGAUGAAGUGGUCAAAAGGAAUCAGAUGCGGUGGUCCUACUCUCGUCUUCAUGUUUCUCUCUGUCCUUUGCUUCUUCCCAUAUCUAAAAGUCGGAAUAGAAGAAAAGAAGCCACAUACGAACUGAAGAAGAUGAGCGAUUAAAUCAACAACACAUUAGCUACAGGAAAGAAGCCAAUGACAUAGAAACUUACUAGGGUUAAAUUUCAUCUACAGGAAGGGUCAUCGUGAUUUCGAGGGUCUUGGCUAGGGUUUCCUUCUGUUGGAAUCGAGUUUUAGGAACAUACAGAAGACGACUAUUAGUAUCGAUUUGGGAUGAGUGCCGAUUUGCAAGACGAGUGUCGAUUUGGGCUUUGGAUUUCAGAAACAAGCAUGAGAGAUAACUGGUGAAUGUCGAUUUAGGAGGAAGAAUGGGGGGAAAUGAAAAUAAUUAGGAUGAGGAGCGGGGGAAAUGAAAUAUUUGGCAGGGGCUUAACAAAAAUUAGCGAUUGAAAUAUUUGUGAGUUUUUGAUUCCGUCACUAAUCCCUUUCUAAUCUCUCGCUAACAUGCUAAAAUUUACACCAUAUCUACAAAAAUAAUUUUCGUCGCAGAUUCCUUGUAAAUCCGUCACUAAUUAGCUAGGGAUUUAUUCCGUCG
RNAcentral lists this long non-coding RNA (1990 nucleotides) under Lactuca sativa (garden lettuce). Its description in RNAcentral is "long non-coding RNA (LSAT_LNC002504)". Lineage: Eukaryota; Viridiplantae; Streptophyta; Magnoliopsida; Asterales; Asteraceae. The record is from RNAcentral.